UAAAAUGAGAGUUUGAUCCUGGCUCAGGACGAACGCUGGCGGCGUGCCUAAUACAUGCAAGUAGAACGCUGAGGACUGGUGCUUGAACUGGUCUAAGGAGUUGCGAACGGGUGAGUAACGCGUAGGUAACCUACCUCAUAGCGGGGGAUAACUAUUGGAAACGAUAGCUAAUACCGCAUGACAAUAGGGUACACAUGUACCCUAUUUAAAAGGGGCAAAUGCUUCACUAUGAGAUGGACCUGCGUUGUAUUAGCUAGUUGGUAAGGUAACGGCUUACCAAGGCGACGAUACAUAGCCGAC
This 300-nucleotide ribosomal RNA is filed under the name Streptococcus uberis B362. RNAcentral describes it as "partial 16S ribosomal RNA". It matches the Rfam family "Bacterial small subunit ribosomal RNA", at positions 1 to 291 of the family's 1533-position model. The record is from RNAcentral. Lineage: Bacteria; Bacillati; Bacillota; Bacilli; Lactobacillales; Streptococcaceae.